RNAcentral lists this ribosomal RNA (492 nucleotides) under uncultured bacterium. RNAcentral's name for it is "partial 16S ribosomal RNA". It matches the Rfam family "Bacterial small subunit ribosomal RNA", at positions 29 to 507 of the family's 1533-position model. The record is from RNAcentral.
AGUGAACGCUGGCGGUAGGCCUAACACAUGCAAGUCGAACGGCAGCACAGUAAGCGUUUGCCUUUACGGUUGGCGAGUGGCGGGUGGGUGAGACAUACAUCACCUUCCUCUUUUUCGUGGGUGACAUCGUAGAAACACUUCCGCUACCACCUCAUAUGUCCUACCGGAUAGAUCAGGAGAUCUUCGGACCUUGCGUGUCUGUUAUAGCUGAUGUCGGAUUAGCUAGUUGGCGGGGUAAAGGCCCACCAAGGCGACGAUCCGUAGCUGAUCUGAGAGGAUGAUCAGCCACACUGGAACUGAGACACGGUCCAGACUCCUACGGGAGGCAGCAGUGGGGAAUAUUGGACAAUGGGCGAAAGCCUGACGCAGCAAUGCCGCGUGAGUGAAGAAGGCCUUCGGGUUGUAAAGCCCUGUUGUUAGGAAAGAAAAGAAGCAGAUGAAUACCCGGAUGUUUUGACGGUACCUAAAGAAUAAGCAACGGCUAACUACGUG